UUACAUAUUAUGUGAAUAGGUGCUCUGUAUCGUAAUCUCGCUCAGAGCUUAAAAGGGAAGUUCGGUGAAAAACCGAUGCGGUCCCGCCACUGUAACAGAGGAGUCAAAGCGUAAAUGCCACUGAUCGCAAGAUCGGGAAGGUGCUUGUCGACUAUGAAUCUGGAGCCAGGAGACCUGCCUAUUCGACAGACACUGC
RNAcentral lists this non-coding RNA (196 nucleotides) under Paenibacillus sp. The record is from RNAcentral. RNAcentral also lists the same sequence under 1 other name. Lineage: Bacteria; Bacillati; Bacillota; Bacilli; Caryophanales; Paenibacillaceae.